CCUACGGUGGCAGCAGUGGGGAAUCUUCCGCAAUGGGCGCAAGCCUGACGGAGCAAUGCCGCGUGAGUGAAGAAGGCCUUCGGGUCGUAAAGCUCUGUCCUAAGGGAAGAUAAUGACGGUACCUUAGGAGGAAGCCCCGGCUAACUACGUGCCAGCAGCCGCGGUAAUACGUAGGGGGCGAGCGUUGUCCGGAAUUACUGGGCGUAAAGGGUGCGUAGGCGGUCAUGUAAGUCAGAUGUGAAAGCCCUCGGCUUAACCGAGGUAAGCAUUUGAAACUGCAUAACUUGAGUGCAGGAGAGGAGAGUGGAAUUCCUAGUGUAGCGGUGAAAUGCGUAGAUAUUAGGAAGAACACCAGUGGCGAAGGCGACUCUCUGGACUGUAACUGACGCUGAGGCACGAAAGCGUGGGGAGCGAACAGGAUUAGAUACCCCUGUAGUC
This 438-nucleotide ribosomal RNA is filed under the name uncultured bacterium. Its description in RNAcentral is "bacterial SSU rRNA". It matches the Rfam family "Bacterial small subunit ribosomal RNA", at positions 338 to 795 of the family's 1533-position model. The record is from RNAcentral.